CACCGGUUGGCGCCGAAUCCCGAACGUCGGGAACCGGGGAACCACCUCCGUUGGGGUGAAUCCGGCCACGCGCCGGUAGGGCAUCUCCACGCCCGAACCCGUCAGCUAACCCGGUAGGCGUGAUGGAGAGGACAA
Molecule: small RNA, 135 nt
Filed under: Nonomuraea sp.
Lineage: Bacteria; Bacillati; Actinomycetota; Actinomycetes; Streptosporangiales; Streptosporangiaceae
Also listed under: 1 other name
Description: c-di-AMP sequence
Rfam family: c-di-AMP riboswitch aptamer (ydaO/yuaA leader)
About the family: This family represents a conserved RNA structure found upstream of the ydaO and yuaA genes in Bacillus subtilis and related genes in other bacteria. The ydaO/yuaA element is thought to act as a genetic "off" switch for the ydaO and yuaA genes in its native state. It is believed that the element may be triggered during osmotic shock leading to activation of ydaO, a predicted amino acid transporter gene, and members of the yuaA-yubG operon which code for KtrA and KtrB K+ transporters.
Source: RNAcentral